Morone saxatilis (striped sea-bass) is the source of this 399-nucleotide long non-coding RNA. RefSeq lists it as uncharacterized. The transcript has 2 exons. NCBI's taxonomy places the organism in Eukaryota, Metazoa, Chordata, Actinopteri, Moronidae. The record is from RefSeq and is a predicted model, not a curated record.
CCUUCUGUCUGUCUCUCAGCGCUCUCUUGGUCGCUCUUUUGCCCGAGGCGAAGCACUGCUCAAACCGCUGCGAAGUCUUUGUCAAUGGCUUAUGAUGCUGAAGGCACUUCACUUGCAGGCACAUACCCAGACUAAAGUUGCUUAGAAAAGAGCUACCUUCUCUCUCCGCUUUGAGUAGUUGUUUGCACAAGAAGCAGAUUGAGCAGGGGAAGAACUACCAAGCCCGUUGAUUGUCAAGCUUUCCGGGUUUGGAUGAGCUACUCCAGUAGUAGUGACAAGGUGUGAGGCAGUGAGACUCACACCAACCUUCGCCCCCGUCAGCCAUGCCGCCCGCCAGCAGAUACUGUCAAGGUGGCAUUGAGUGCCGGGGCCUUCCCCAAACUCAUGGGAAUAGACCAG